Galleria mellonella (greater wax moth) is the source of this 1633-nucleotide long non-coding RNA. RefSeq lists it as uncharacterized. The record is from RefSeq and is a predicted model, not a curated record. Lineage: Eukaryota; Metazoa; Arthropoda; Insecta; Lepidoptera; Pyralidae. The transcript is spliced from 3 exons.
UCAUCAUAUCAGCAACUUCAACUGUCCACUGCUAAAAACAAGCUUCCCCCCCCCUCCCUUUGCUAGUCAUUGCCAUGUGGCAGGCGGAUUGGCAAUCGCAGUUAGGUUUUGAAUAUGUUUAAAGAGGGACGCUCGUCUCUGACGCUCUUAGUCGUCUUUUACGACAUAAACAUAUACAGUGUAGAUAUUUAUUUAUAUAAAUAACGACAAGAUAACAGUAAUGAAGCCGCUUAUAUUCUUUAUUCAAUAGAAAUAUUUUAUCGCAUAUAUAAUAAACUAUCUUUUUGACUAUUUGUUUUUUAAAUUAGUAACAUACUUUACAAAAAAAUAAAUAUCAUCUAAACAAACUACUUAGAAUUUUAAAUACGUUCUCUAAUUCUUCAAGCCGAAUACGGGGUGUGAUAUAAGAAAACCUUACAGUAUUUCAGACGUCACUUCAAGAAGUUCGAUAGUUUGGAGUUGCAUGCAGCAAAUGCAACGCAAUGCUCCAUUAUGUGGCCCAUAAAUCAAGUGCAUUGAAAUCUCCUUCCUCUUUCGUGUCGGUGAGCCAUCGCACGGAGCGACGGAUAUUUGAACCAAUGCACCACCGAGCCCUAUCUCGAUACAACUACAUAGGUACAUCUACAGUUAUAAACUAUCCCGCAGAUUACUCCACGUAAACCAAUAGAGAAGGUAUCCUAUGUACUAAUUUAAAAUGUAACGUAUCCGUAUAGCAAAUUUUAUUUAAAUCCAUUCAGUACUUCCUGCGUCAAAGAAAAGCAAAUAUCCAUCCAUCCAACAUUACAAACUUUUCUUUCAAAUUAAAAGGAUUUUACAAUUCUUAUAGUUCGAAACGAUAUUAAUUACGAGGAAAUCUACUAAAUUUGUUAUAUUAUACGAAGCCAAUAAGUCUUUAUGAUAAGGUAAUCGAAUUACGUCAAGAUAGAAACAAGUAGAGUUCUGAUAUCUCUGCGCCUACAAAAGUAGAAGAAAAGGCAUGAGAGUGGUGAUUAUAAUAAUAAUAUUUGAACAUUUUUACAUAACUAUCUAAGAAAUGACUAUGGAAAUGUAAAUCAAAUGCAAGGGUGCAGUGCAUAGCUGUAGAUUGAUUGAAGCAAUGUCAUAUUCAUGUUCGCACAAUGGCCGCCCGACGACCGGCGGCAUUCGGAGGUAACAUCCAUUCACUCAAUGUUACUCAAUGGCUUUUGCAUGUUACAUUCUGCACUUAGACUACAUUCGAAGUUGUCUACAUAUAUUUCUGUCUGUGUGACAUCGUAAUAUCUGAGAAUACAAGAGUAUGUGAAAUGUGUUUGUAUAAUAUGCUUUUAAAGAAUAAACUAUUUUAAAAAGUGUGCCAGUCAGUAAGUAAAUUUUACAACACUGUUGUAAACCGCACCAAUUCAGUUAUAAAUAAUAAUUAAUAUUCAGUGUCAUCAUGUUAAUACUACUACUGCUAUUACUACAUACUAUACAAAACUAGUUCUAGAUUUUGUUUACUAUUUUUUUAUGUAAACAAAUCUAUGAAUUUACUUACUGAAAUAAAAUUAUUUAACAAUAAUUCUACAUUCUUGUCAAAUAUAAUUAAUUAUGAUAAUUAUGCAUAAUUUAUUUAUUGACUUGCAAAAAUAGACAGUUCUCAAUUUUCCUCUACCUU